Long non-coding RNA from Aphis gossypii (cotton aphid), 464 nucleotides. RefSeq lists it as uncharacterized. The record is from RefSeq and is a predicted model, not a curated record. The transcript has 3 exons. NCBI's taxonomy places the organism in Eukaryota, Metazoa, Arthropoda, Insecta, Hemiptera, Aphididae.
UACAACACUACAAUCUAAAAUCUUUAUGUUAGAGAAGGCAUAAAUCAUUAUAAAUAGUGCAAUUGAAUCAUUUAAAAAUAUGGGAAUUGAUAAAAAUGUGUGAUAUAAAUAAUAUAUCAUUGAAAGUCUUUCAUUCCGGACAUAAUAAAUUUAAACAGUGCUUAAAAGCAGAAAUGGUUGUAGCAAAAACCUGUUUAAAAACAGUACAGAUGACAUAAAAAAAAUACUUAACAAAGUUUUUCUCCCAUGAAGAGAUUGAAAAAUUGAUUGGAGAACCGAGAGCAGCGUUACAGCAGCGCUUCACAAAUUUAAGUAUCAUAAUAUAGGGCUGGGAUUUUGAUGCAAAGGAAUCUUUUUUUCUGGUGUUUUGAAACAUUGCUUUGAAAAGGCACUAAAACAGAAAAUAUUUUCUCAAAUAAUCUCCAUCACUUUUACUUUUAUCAUCUUCAUACAAAAUAUCAUGU